AGCUAUGGCCAUGCUACCCUGAAUGUUCCUGAUCUUGUCUGAUCUCAAAAACUAAGCAGGGGAGGGCCUGGUUAGUACUUGGAUGGGAGAUCAAAAGGGAACUUCAUUGAAGGUCCGGUGUCUU
Molecule: ribosomal RNA, 124 nt
Filed under: Saimiri boliviensis boliviensis (Bolivian squirrel monkey)
Lineage: Eukaryota; Metazoa; Chordata; Mammalia; Primates; Cebidae
Source: RNAcentral